RNAcentral lists this long non-coding RNA (1239 nucleotides) under Carassius auratus (goldfish). RNAcentral describes it as "lncRNA (ENSCARG00000011933.1)". Lineage: Eukaryota; Metazoa; Chordata; Actinopteri; Cypriniformes; Cyprinidae. The record is from RNAcentral.
AUGGUCAGAAACACAAAAAUUCCCAAAACCAAGCCACGUAUCAUUAUUAAGCAUGACACAAAACAUUUUUCGGUACAAGGGUUUUUAUAUGACCUGUUUUAUUUUGAUUGCGAUAAAAUGUAUCUUAUUGCAGAUGUUGAAAAUGCUUGGAAAUUUUUUUAUGAGAGUUUUAAAGAAAUUGUUGACAAGCAUGCUCCCCACAGAAAAUAUAGAGUAAACAGCCGAAACAAUGCAUGGUUCACUGUAGAUUUUGCCAACUCUCUUCAUGAGCGUGAUAAGGCCUGGGCAAAAGCCAGGAAAACAAGCCUGGAUUCUGAUUGGCUGCUCUUCAGGAGACUGCGCAAUUUGUGCACUGUGGCUAUCAGGAAGGCCAAAGCUGACCAAUUUCUUAUAGAAACUUCAAAUAAUUUAAAUAACCCCUUAAAAUUCUGGAAGACGAUUAAAUCCUUGGCUGGAAACAAAACUGGCAUUGAGCUGCCACCAUGUAUUCUUAAUGACUCACAUAAAUUAUCCGAUAAGGCUAAGAUGCUUGGCUGUUUUAAUGGGCAUUUUAUUGCCUCUGGUUCAUUAUUUGAUUCCCUCAACACUUCACAUCAGAAUCAUCCUAAAGGUAAUUCUCAUGGUCAUUCUGGAAUCAGUAAUUCUUUUAGUUUCAAGCCAUUUUCAGUUUCAGAAGUGCAUGAAGCCCUCACACUUUUAGACAUUAGAAAAUCGUCUGGUCCUGAUAACUUGGAGCCUUAUUUUCUACAGUUAGCAUCUGAUUUUAUUGCACCGCCUUUGACUUAUCUUUUUAAUCUUUCUCUGGACACGAAUGAAAUUCCACUUAUAUGGAAAUCCGCAUUUGUUUUUCCUCUGUUAAAAGGAGGCGACCUGACUGAUUUAAAUAACUAUAGACCCAUCUCGAAACUGUCUGUCCUGGCCAAGGUUAUGGAAACUCUGGUGAAUGAACAAUUGAAAGAGUUUCUAACUAUCAACAAUAUUCUGUCUAAUUUUCAAUCAGGUUUUCGUAAAAAACACAGCACAACUACAGCAGCCCUAAGAGUAGUAAAUGAUUUUAUUGACUCUUUAGAUAAAAAGCAACAUUAUGCAGCUCUCUUCAUUGACCUAUCGAAGGCUUUUGAUACUGUGGAUCAUGCAAUAUUUAAACAAAGAUUUCUCAGUGUCAGGUUGUCAGAACAAACAGUUUGCUGGUUUGACAACUAUCUAUCAGGUAGAUCCUUUUUGCAGCCACUUUCUUGA